AGCAGGAAUAUACAUUUUAUUCAAUACCAGAGGUCGUUUGCAGAUCCAUUCUUAAUUAUGCAAAAACUCUUAUAACACAGGGAGAAGAACAUAUCUUAUGAAAGGGGAAGGGAAAAAGAAAGAGCUGACCAAGUCGUGUAUCUCGCAGUCACAGAAAUAAUUUGGUUAUCCCUUUGGGACACACCCAAGUGAAAAUAUCCUGGCUGUUAAAGAAAAAAAAAUGCAAAUUAUACAUAUGUAUUUGUGGAGUCCCAGAUGUGACUAUCAUUAAUAA
Tupaia belangeri chinensis (Chinese tree shrew) is the source of this 274-nucleotide long non-coding RNA. RefSeq lists it as uncharacterized. The transcript is spliced from 3 exons. The record is from RefSeq and is a predicted model, not a curated record. NCBI's taxonomy places the organism in Eukaryota, Metazoa, Chordata, Mammalia, Scandentia, Tupaiidae.